This 1269-nucleotide long non-coding RNA is filed under the name Jatropha curcas. Its description in RNAcentral is "long non-coding RNA (JCUR_LNC002849)". The record is from RNAcentral. Lineage: Eukaryota; Viridiplantae; Streptophyta; Magnoliopsida; Malpighiales; Euphorbiaceae.
GCCUGUUGCCCUUUCAAUCUACUCAAUUAUUCAUAAAGCGCCUGUAACCCUAGCACUACUUAUUUCCCAUGAUCUACCAGAAAAUGACCUUUCCAUUCACUCUUUAUUAUUUUUGUCUCUGAAUUUUGAAAUCACACCAAGAUUUGGAGAUGACAGGAAUCAUAAAUAUUGUUACCAAACAAAAUUUUGUUUUCACAUUGUAAAUUUUUACUCAAUUUGUCUGAUUCGAAAAUCAGAUAGAUUUCCGAUAUUAUUAGAUUUAGUUUGUACAUGUGCUUUUACGCUAAAGCCAUAAAUGGGAUCCCGAUAAUAAUUUUAUAAGUAAAGUUUAUUUGGAAAUAUAGUAUAUUCCUAAUGAUCCGAAAGUUGUUAGUACUUUUUUUCAUAAAGUAAAUAAUUUUUUAAUCUCCCUACAUUGCAAGAUACAAAAUAUACCAUCAAUUGAAUUAUUAAUCCAAUGACAUUAUGUUCUAAUCAUUGUUCGAUAAAAGUUUUUUUCUCAUGAAUUCUCUAAUUUUCAAAAUAUUAUAUAUAGUUUUUGUUUUUUUUUAAUGGGAAAAAAAAAAGACAAUAUGGGGCAACGGGCAUGUUUUGUUGGGCAAGGAAAGGGUUAGAGGUGCACAUCAUGUAAGGUCAGGUAGAAGACAGUGAGUAUUCUUCUAGUGAGUAUUGUUUUUAGGAUAUUGCCAAAUUUUUCUGGGUCUAGUAUAUUAGUUAAUGCAAUUUGUUGGCUUUUUUUCAUGUGAGGUAUAUUUGGUGCAGGCUAAGGAAAGGUUUUGCCGUUUGGCAGAAUGCAAACGGUGCAGUUUUAUUGGCAAAUCUGGCGGCUUCUCUGCUCUUCCAGCUUAGAAAGGGGACCAUCUGAUUUUAUUGAUCACGGCCAUUGGAAAACUGUCUUUUGCAUUCUUGGAAAUUGGGUCCGUCUGAUCUUAAGACCUUAUUAAUAGAUCAAUUAAAUACUUACUACUAGUUCUGUUCCUUUAUGGAUUAAUUGGCCGGUCCAAUAGGAGUGAUUAUAAGCCCAGAUAAUUGGAUGUAUCAUCUUAUUAAUACAGUGGAGUGGUCCGUUUACUGUUGAGCCCAAUGACUACUUGCAGGGGAGACUCAGCCGUGGAAGGUGCACAAAUGGCGUUUCCAAUUAACCAUUAUAUACAUAAAUGACUAAGGCUAGGGCUAGGACCGUAUUCUGUAAUAACUUUUUAAAUAGUUUUUAACUCUAAAUGUUAUUAAAAGGUAUUUUUUUAUAAUUUUUAUUGUGUUUGAUAAUAU